Molecule: ribosomal RNA, 497 nt
Filed under: uncultured bacterium
Lineage: Bacteria
Description: partial 16S ribosomal RNA
Rfam family: Bacterial small subunit ribosomal RNA
Source: RNAcentral
GAUGAACGCUGGCGGCGUGCCUAAUACAUGCAAGUCGAACGCAUAGCGAAAGGUGCUUGCACCUUUCAAGUGAGUGGCGAACGGGUGAGUAACACGUGGACAACCUGCCUCAAGGCUGGGGAUAACAUUUGGAAACAGAUGCUAAUACCGAAUAAAACUUAGUGUCGCAUGACACAAAGUUAAAAGGCGCUUCGGCGUCACCUAGAGAUGGAUCCGCGGUGCAUUAGUUAGUUGGUGGGGUAAAGGCCUACCAAGACAAUGAUGCAUAGCCGAGUUGAGAGACUGAUCGGCCACAUUGGGACUGAGGCACGGCCCAAACUCCUACGGGAGGCUGCAGUAGGGAAUCUUCCACAAUGGGCGAAAGCCUGAUGGAGCAACGCCGCGUGUGUGAUGAAGGCUUUCGGGUCGUAAAGCACUGUUGUAUGGGAAGAACAGCUAGAAUAGGAAAUGAUUUUAGUUUGACGGUACCAUACCAGAAAGGGACGGCUAAAUACGUG